GACGAACGCUGGCGGCGCGCCUAACACAUGCAAGUCGAACGAGAGAUGAAGAGCUUGCUCUUCAGAUCGAGUGGCGAACGGGUGAGUAACGCGUGAGGAACCUGCCUCAAAGAGGGGGACAACAGUUGGAAACGGCUGCUAAUACCGCAUAAGCGCACAGUACCGCAUGGUACGGUGUGAAAAACUCCGGUGGUGUGAGAUGGACCCGCGUCUGAUUAGCUAGUUGGCAGGGCAACGGCCUACCAAGGCGACGAUCAGUAGCCGACCUGAGAGGGUGAUCGGCCACAUUGGGACUGAGACACGGCCCAAAACUCCUACGGGAGGCAGCAGUGGGGAAUAUUGGGCAAUGGAGG
RNAcentral lists this ribosomal RNA (353 nucleotides) under uncultured bacterium. RNAcentral describes it as "bacterial SSU rRNA". It matches the Rfam family "Bacterial small subunit ribosomal RNA", at positions 28 to 377 of the family's 1533-position model. The record is from RNAcentral.